GAUGAACGCUGGCGGCGUGCCUAAUACAUGCAAGUCGAGCGAACAGACGAGUACUUUGCUCCGCUGACGAUAGCGGCGGACGGGUGAGUAACACGUGGAUAACCUCUCUAUAAGACUGGGACAACUCCGGGAAAGGGUUACUACCGCCGACGAUCCACUUAAACCACCGGGGUAACUUCGGACCUCGGGUUUUAGGGUUGGUCCGUGGCGCAUCCGCGCGUUGGUGGGGUAUAGGCAUAGCAAGGCGUCGAUGAGUCGCCGGUCUGAGAGGGCGACCAGCCACACUGGAACUGAGACACGGGCCAGAAUCCUACGGGAGGCAACAGGAGGGAAUCUUCCGCAAUGGGGGGAAGCCUGAUGGAACAACGCCGCGGGAGUGAAGAAGGGCUUCGGAUCGUAAAACUCUGUUAUUAGGGAAAAACAAAUGUGUAAGUAACUAUGCACGUCUUGACGGUACCUAGACAGAAAAGCACGGCUAACUACGGG
Molecule: ribosomal RNA, 486 nt
Filed under: uncultured bacterium
Lineage: Bacteria
Description: partial 16S ribosomal RNA
Rfam family: Bacterial small subunit ribosomal RNA
Source: RNAcentral